AGAACGAACGCUGGCGGCAUGCCUAAUACAUGCAAGUCGAACGAACACUUCGGUGUUAGUGGCGCACGGGUGCGUAACGCGUGGGAAUCUGCCCUUGGGUUCGGAAUAACAGUUGGAAACGACUGCUAAUACCGGAUGAUGACGAAAGUCCAAAGAUUUAUCGCCCAGGGAUGAGCCCGCGUAGGAUUAGCUAGUUGGUGAGGUAAAGGCUCACCAAGGCGACGAUCCUUAGCUGGUCUGAGAGGAUGAUCAGCCACACUGGGACUGAGACACGGCCCAGACUCCUACGGGAGGCAGCAGUAGGGAAUAUUGGACAAUGGGCGCAAGCCUGAUCCAGCAAUGCCGCGUGAGUGAUGAAGGCCUUAGGGUUGUAAAGCUCUUUACCCGAGAUGAUAAUGACAGUAUCGGAGAAUAAGCCCCGGCUAACUCCGUGCCAAGCAGCCGC
RNAcentral lists this ribosomal RNA (445 nucleotides) under uncultured soil bacterium. RNAcentral's name for it is "bacterial SSU rRNA". It matches the Rfam family "Bacterial small subunit ribosomal RNA", at positions 26 to 518 of the family's 1533-position model. The record is from RNAcentral.